GCCUACGGGGGGCAGCAGGCGCGAAAACUUUACAAUGCGGGCAACCGUGAUAAGGAAACCCCGAGUGCCACCACAGGGUGGCUGUCCACCAGUGUAAAAAACUGGUGAAGAAAGGGCCGGGCAAGACCGGUGCCAGCCGCCGCGGUAAUACCGGCGGCUCGAGUGGUGGCCGCUUUUACUGGGCUUAAAGGGUCCGUAGCUGGAUCUGUGUGUCCCUUGAGAAAUCCAUCGGCUUAACUGAUGGGCGUUCAGGGGAAACUGCAGCUCUAGGGACCGGGAGAGGUGAGAGGUACUGCCGGGGUAGGAGUGAAAUCCUGUAAUCCCGGUGGGACGACCUAUGGCGAAGGCAUCUCACCAGAACGGCUCCGACAGUGAGGGACGAAAGCUGGGGGAGCAAACCGGAUUAGAUACCCGGGUAGUC
RNAcentral lists this ribosomal RNA (421 nucleotides) under uncultured Methanospirillum sp. Its description in RNAcentral is "bacterial SSU rRNA". It matches the Rfam family "Archaeal small subunit ribosomal RNA", at positions 321 to 746 of the family's 1478-position model. Lineage: Archaea; Methanobacteriati; Methanobacteriota; Methanomicrobia; Methanomicrobiales; Methanospirillaceae. The record is from RNAcentral.